GUGCUAACUUCAGCGGCACAAAUACUAAAAUUGGAAAGAUACAGAGAAGUUUUGGAUGGCCCCUGCACAGGAUGACAUGCAAAUCUGUGAAGCAUUCCAUAUAUUU
RNAcentral lists this small nuclear RNA (106 nucleotides) under Dasypus novemcinctus (nine-banded armadillo). Lineage: Eukaryota; Metazoa; Chordata; Mammalia; Cingulata; Dasypodidae. The record is from RNAcentral.